RNAcentral lists this ribosomal RNA (440 nucleotides) under uncultured bacterium. Its description in RNAcentral is "partial 16S ribosomal RNA". It matches the Rfam family "Bacterial small subunit ribosomal RNA", at positions 338 to 795 of the family's 1533-position model. The record is from RNAcentral.
CCUACGGGAGGCAGCAGUGGGGAAUAUUGCACAAUGGGGGAAACCCUGAUGCAGCGACGCCGCGUGAGUGAAGAAGUAUCUCGGUACGUAAAGCUCUAUCAGCAGGGAAGAAAAUGACGGUACCUGACUAAGUAGCCCCCGCUAACUAAGUGCCCGCAGCCGCGGUAAUACGUAGGGGGCAAGCGUUAUCCGGAUUUACUGGGUGUAAAGGGGGCGUAGACGGCAGCACAAGUCUGUAGUGAAAUCCCGGGGCUUAACCGAGGAACUGCAUUGGAAACUGUGCGGCUGGAGUGCAGGAGGGGAAAGCGGAAUUCCUAGUGUAGCGGUGAAAUGCGUAGAUAUUAGGAGGAACACCGGUGGCGAAGGCGGCUUACUGGACUGUAACUGACGUUGAGGCUCGAAAGCGUGGGGAGCAAACAGGAUUAGGUACCCUUGUAGUC